Molecule: ribosomal RNA, 274 nt
Filed under: uncultured bacterium
Lineage: Bacteria
Description: partial 16S ribosomal RNA
Rfam family: Bacterial small subunit ribosomal RNA
Source: RNAcentral
AUACGGGGGGUGCAAGCGUUGUCCGGAAUCAUUGGGCGUAAAGGGUUCGUAGGUGGAAUUAUAAGUCUGGUGUGAAAGCCCACAGCUCAACUGUGGAACUGCACUGGAUACUGUUUUUCUUGAGUUAUCGAGGGGUUUGUGGAAUUUCUGGUGUAGAGGUGAAAUUUGUAGAGAUCAGAAAGAACACCGGUGGCGAAGGCGACAAACUGGCUAUUAACUGACACUGAGGAACGAAAGCGUGGGGAGCGAACAGAAUUAGAAACCCUAGUAGUCC